AGUGAAGCGGCACAGCUCAAAUUUGAAAGCUGGCCUUCGGGUCCGCAUUGUAAUUUGUAGAGGAUGCUUUGGGUGAAACGCCAGUCUAAGUUCCUUGGAACAGGACGUCAUAGAGGGUGAGAAUCCCGUAUGUGACUGGAAAUGUUAACCUAUGUAAAGCUCCUUCGACGAGUCGAGUUGUUUGGGAAUGCAGCUCUAAAUGGGAGGUAAAUUUCUUCUAAAGCUAAAUAUUGGCGAGAGACCGAUAGCGCACAAGUAGAGUGAUCGAAAGAUGAAAAGCACUUUGGAAAGAGAGUUAAAAAGCACGUGAAAUUGUUGAAAGGGAAGCGCUUGCAAUCAGACUUGUUUAAACUGUUCGGCCGGUCUUCUGACCGGUUUACUCAGUUUGGACAGGCCAGCAUCAGUUUCGGCGGCCGGAUAAAGGCUCUGGGAAUGUGGCCUUCACUUCGGUGAAGGUGUUAUAGCCCAGGGUGUAAUACGGCCAGCCGGGACUGAGGUCCGCGCUUCGGCUAGGAUGCUGGCGUAAUGGUUGUAAGCGACCCGUCUUG
This 548-nucleotide ribosomal RNA is filed under the name Aureobasidium pullulans. RNAcentral describes it as "LSU rRNA". It matches the Rfam family "Eukaryotic large subunit ribosomal RNA", at positions 92 to 656 of the family's 3401-position model. Lineage: Eukaryota; Fungi; Ascomycota; Dothideomycetes; Dothideales; Saccotheciaceae. The record is from RNAcentral.